This 635-nucleotide long non-coding RNA is filed under the name Helianthus annuus (common sunflower). Its description in RNAcentral is "sRNA HanXRQr2_Chr02g0058691". The record is from RNAcentral. Lineage: Eukaryota; Viridiplantae; Streptophyta; Magnoliopsida; Asterales; Asteraceae.
UGCAUAUACAUCAAUGAAAACCAGAAGAACGAAUAGAUUAAACACACGGAGAUGAAGAUGGAGAUUAUACCAGCAUACUUUCCUCUGUAGCAAGACAUGGUGGAUGAAUCUGAGAUCUGAAAAAAAGAGGCAUGCAGAGAAAGAAAUUAUAGAGAAAGGAGAUUGUAAGAGUCAAUGAUGGGGAGUGAGGGUUAAUAUAGAAGAGAUUGUUGAGACAUCAGUUUCAUCGCCCCCAAUAAAAGAAACAGGUCAAGAUCUGAAAGCAGAUCUGAAACGGGUAAGACCGAGAACCUGUUACACCGGAAUGGUUUAAGCAGUGGAGGAUGGUGAUGGCAGAAUGGUGGUGCUACCAGGCACAUAACAGGCCAAUACUUUUCUGGCAGUCAAAUCGAUAUCGGCGACCACUGCUUUGAGAUCUGUAAACUAGGGUUUUUCAAGGUCAGCAAAGAUGAUCGAUUCUUGAGAAUCAAACGACGAAAUAAUUUGUUUUGGGUGAAUGAAUUAUAUUGAAGUAUUUGAAUUUCAUCUUGUUGAUAAGUGCAGAAUUAAUUCGAUGAUUUUGAAGAUCUGAAUUGUUGUUCCAAAGUUCAUGUUUAUGGAUUAAUAAAUAGAUAAAUUUAUAUUUUAUUAUAGUU